Cervus hanglu yarkandensis (Yarkand deer) is the source of this 92-nucleotide small nuclear RNA. Its record names the gene U4. It matches the Rfam family "U4 spliceosomal RNA". Rfam says of the family: U4 small nuclear RNA (U4 snRNA) is a component of the major U2-dependent spliceosome. The structure of U4 snRNA from yeast and human has been reported. The record is from Ensembl. NCBI's taxonomy places the organism in Eukaryota, Metazoa, Chordata, Mammalia, Artiodactyla, Cervidae.
AGCUUUGCGCAGUGGCAGUAUCGUAGCCAAUGAGGUUUAUCCGAGGCGCGAUUAUUGCUAAUUGAAAAAAAAAAACUGCUAUAAAUCAAUAA